Molecule: long non-coding RNA, 1273 nt
Organism: Platichthys flesus (European flounder)
Lineage: Eukaryota; Metazoa; Chordata; Actinopteri; Pleuronectiformes; Pleuronectidae
Exons: 2
Source: RefSeq, a predicted model, not a curated record
AGGGAUAAUGUGUCAGCACAUGUUGUUUUUCUAUGAGGGAACUCGAACUGUGAUCUGCUUCGUGGCCAAUCCGGCUCCUGAGGUUGUUGUGUCAAAGCAGGCCAGGCUAACUGAGCUAGCAUCCAGCCUGAGGCUAACGGACGCUGGUUCUCCUGGUGAGCGAGGAUCUGAUCCAUGACACUCGGUCCCGGUCGCUGACAGACCAACAACCAGGUAACAGACAUGUACACAACAUGUAAACAACAUGUAGCUAAGCUAGGUGGCUAACAGGCCGACUAGCUGCUCGGCUCCCCGCACAGCGGCCGCUUCCGGGCGGAUAAACGCACAGCGCGGCCCCGGUGGCUUCUUACCGAAGGUCCUCCUCUGUUUGAAGGGUCUGUCGGACGGCAUCUCUCCGGCGGCUGGUGACACGGGUGUGGGUCGGUGAGUGUUCUGGAGCCGCUGCUGAUGAACUCGCUGAACAGUGUUCGAUUCCCCGAUGACUCUGAAGAGCAAUCUGCUCCCGACCAACAAAGCGAGCCCACCCAGCGGUGACGUCAUGCGCUGCAGUUAAAGGGGACGUUCACCAAGUUUGACUGAUUUCGCAGUUCUGCAGUUAUAAACAGUUAAUAACAGUUAACGCUCACCUACUGACACAACAGACACGCAAUGCACAUAAAACACACAAUGAUGAAAUACAGACAGAGUUAAAGAAUGACACAAACCAACCCCCCAAAAAACACUGCCAAAACCAACACACCCAUAGACACAACCAAAAAGAGGCAAAACAGACACACAAUGCCAAAAAGAGAAGCACACAAUUAAAACAAAGACCAGAAAAUUGACCAACAUGAACAUGAAUCUUCCAACAUGACCGACAAAGACAUAGAUCGACCAAAAUAUAGAGAAAACUGAACAAAAUGACAAACUGCUCAAGACUGUUUGUAUUUUCACUUCUUUGUCUCGUACUUUAACUUCCUCUCUGUCGGUGUACAUGACACUAAACCGGAUCCUGAAGCGCACCACAGAAAACAAGACACUGGAUCUUUUUCUCCAUUUUUUAAUUUGUAAGAAAUAACCAACAGGAAGUGGACCUGACGCUGACAUUCUGCCCUUCAGCAUCUCUAAACAACACAACAAUAAAUUACGUCCAGAGAUUUUCAUGAAGGUUUAACUGAAACAAAAAGAUAUUUUACUCUAAAUUUGCUAUGGUCUCUCUCUCUUCUUUAUGAACGUGCAGCUGAGGUAUUUUAGCAGACGUGUAUUUUCCCCAUGUGCUAAAAUACAUGCAUGA